This 460-nucleotide ribosomal RNA is filed under the name uncultured bacterium. RNAcentral describes it as "partial 16S ribosomal RNA". It matches the Rfam family "Bacterial small subunit ribosomal RNA", at positions 338 to 795 of the family's 1533-position model. The record is from RNAcentral.
CCUACGGGAGGCUGCAGUGAGGAAUAUUGGUCAAUGGCCGGAAGGCUGAACCAGCCAUGCCGCGUGAAGGUCAGUGCCCUAUGGGCGUUAAACUUCUUUUGUGCGGGAGCAAUAAUGGUCACGUGUGGCCAGACGAGAGUACCGUACGAAUAAGCAGCGGCUAACUCCGUGCCAGCAGCCGCGGUAAUACGGGGGAUGCAAGCGUUAUCCGGAUUUAUUGGGGUUAAAGGGUGCGUAGGCUGUGAGGUAAGUCAGCGGUGAAAUGCCCCCGCUCAACGGGGUGAAGUGCCAUUGAUACUGGCUUGCUGGAAUGCGGAUGCCGUGGGAGGAAGUUGUGGUGUAGCGGUGAAAUGCAUAGAGAGCACACAGAACACCGAUUGCGAAGGCAUCUCACGAAUCCGCGAUUGACGCUGAUGCACGAAAGCGUGGGUAUCAAACAGGAUUAGAUACCCUAGUAGUC